This 515-nucleotide ribosomal RNA is filed under the name uncultured bacterium. RNAcentral describes it as "partial 16S ribosomal RNA". It matches the Rfam family "Bacterial small subunit ribosomal RNA", at positions 28 to 523 of the family's 1533-position model. The record is from RNAcentral.
GAUGAACGCUGGCGGCGUGCCUAAUACAUGCAAGUCGAGCGAAUGGAUUGAGAGCUUGCUCUUAUGAAGUUAGCGGCGGACGGGUGAGUAACACGUGGGUAGCCUGCCCAUAAGACUGGGAUAACUCCGGGAAACCGGGGCUAAUACCGGAUAACAUUUUGAACCGCAUGGUUCGAAAUUGAAAGGCGGCUUCGGCUGUCACUUAUGGAUGGACCCGCGUCGCAUUAGCUAGUUGGUGAGGUAACGGCUCACCAAGGCAACGAUGCGUAGCCGACCUGAGGGGGUGGUCGGCCACACUGGGACUGAGACACGGCCCAGACUCCUACGGGAGGCAGCAGUAGGGAAUCUUCCGCAAUGGACGAAAGUCUGACGGAGCAACGCCGCGUGAGUGAUGAAGGCUUUCGGGUCGUAAAACUCUGUUGUUAGGGAAGAACAAGUGCUAGUUGAAUAAGCUGGCACCUUGACGGUACCUAACCAGAAAGCCACGGCUAACUACGUGCCAGCCGCCGCCGUAA